Choloepus didactylus (southern two-toed sloth) is the source of this 3137-nucleotide long non-coding RNA. RefSeq lists it as uncharacterized. The record is from RefSeq and is a predicted model, not a curated record. NCBI's taxonomy places the organism in Eukaryota, Metazoa, Chordata, Mammalia, Pilosa, Megalonychidae. The transcript has 7 exons.
CCACAAAUUGGAAACUUGAUGAAGAUGAAAUUCAAUUCCCAAGGAAACCUGGCUGUCUGAAGUAGAGAGAGAAAUUCUUUCUGAUUGCUGAAAUCCUCAUUUCUCCCUUUAAGACCUCCAACUGAUUAGAUAAGAAGACCCUUCUCAUUGCUGAAGGCAAUGUCCUCUGUUGAUGGUAGCUGUAAUCAGCCAUAGGUUCAGUCAACUGGUUAAUGAUGUAGAUGCAUCAAUGAAACACCUCACAGUAACAAUCAGGCCAGUGCUUACUUGGCUAAACAACUAGACACCAUAAUCUAUCCAAGUUGAUACAUGAAAUUAACUAUCACAACUUAUUUUGUUAUUUUUUAGCAGCACAUUUAAGAGACUCACUUUUUAAUUAUGGAACAUUUAGUAUUAAUAAUACAAUAAUUCCACACUUUUGGCCAUCAUUUCUUAUGAAAUGAAAUGGUAUUCUGAAACUAAUAGUGCUUAUUGAUUGAAGGUGGUAUACAAAUUGGGUAGUUAGAAGGGAAAAUUUGAGACAGACUUUUCACUGUACCUUUGUAGAUCUACCAUUUACUAAUUAUAUCUAUUGAAUAUUAACAACUCAAAUGUUUAAAAAUUAUCUUUUUUAAAGAUGAGGUGAUCAAAUUCUCUAUGUACAAUCAUUUUCUGUGUGAGAUUAAAAUAUAUAUACAAUAUAAUUUUAAAAAGAAAGAAAUAUACAAGAGCAUUUAUAAUUUUAAGUAUCAUGAUUUAAAAAGUUAAAUAACUAACUCAUUUACACCAAUCUAAAACCUACCUAACAUAUUCUAUUAAGACAGCUCAAUUUCUAAAAUGUGUUUUUUUGUCUAAAGAAAAUAAUUUCUUAACUAUUUUCUAUUAGCUGACACAAAUAUGUAUUACCCUUUCAUGGACAUACCAACAAAACAACAAGUCUUUUCAAGUAACCUGGCAGCAUUUGAUUUAUGGGUAUAAAACUUCAGAGAGCAAUGAUUUCAAGCAAAUACAAAAACAUGUUUAUGGAACUCUGGUUUUCUAAAAUACAGAUUACUGGAUAGAAGAGAUGGAGAUGUAAAAUCAAGAUUCCUGAAAGUGGUUGGAGAAAACUAGACCCCAGGACAACUUUCUACAUUGUUUCCUUGUACUUAUAAUUCUCUUGAGUUAUUCUACCUCCUCACUCUCCAGAGAUCCAAGGUUCAAAGAACUGGGCAUUAGGAGCAAGCAACUUACUGGAGAAAGAAUAAUGAACGUUUGCAUAAAACUUAGAAGAUGGACACUAUCCAGUAAUUUUGGCCCAAUGGCCCGCUGAUGCCAUAGCUCAGAACACUGAAACAGAAGAUGGGUGCCAAUACCCAAAGGAGCAGAGAUGGUAUAGAAGGAAAAACCUAAAUAUCCAGAUGUGGCCUCUCUCUCUAAGCCAACUUGGCAGGGUAUGUGACUAUACCUCAAUAAAAUUGCAGGAAAAAAAAGAACUUAAGCAUCGGCAUCUGAGGUUAAACUAAACAGCUAACUAUAAAACACAAAAUCCUUUGCAAAAAUGAGAGAUUUGUAUAAGAAGUCUCAUGAGCCCUGGAGCUCGGAUGGUUAAGUGGAACGAUGAGCAAGAAGAGAGAGGGCAGAAUAGCAAUGAAAUGCAGCAGGAUUGAGUGAAAAAAAUUUAAAUCCAUGGAUCCUGGAAAAAUUAUUUGGAAAAUCAAACUUUGGAUUAUCUAUAUUCCUCUUAACUGUUUUACCUCAAGUACCAUGUGUAAGAAAACACGCAGAAUGAAGAUUGCUUAUUUUAAACAUAGAACAUUUUGUGAUCAUGCUGUCAGAAAAAUGUGGAUUUUUACCUUACUUAACAUCAGCUGUGGGCAGCAUUUGGUGAAAGGUAAAAAGGCUACAACAACUUAAACAUGAUCACUUUCCUGAAGAGCUCAGAGAUCUCCAGGCAUUGGAAACAUAGCUUCUCAGACGACACUCUCCUUACUUAACUGUCCUCUUUUACAGUGAGGAGAAAUUUGCACUCCUCUAGCCACCCUAGUUGGUAUCCUUCUUGAAUUGUUCCAACUGGGAUAACAGUAAACAGGAGAGCUGUGGAAUUUUUGGAAGGCGGAAAGGGAACAGUUCAAUGGCAAGUGACUUAAGAGAGACGUAAAAGGUAACAUCUAAUUGUGUGUACAGGAGGGGUAAGUACUUCAGUACCUGGAAAGACAGUUACUUGGGAAUGAGGUGGGAAGUUGUAGAAAACAGGAAGGACACAAGGUCUAUUAGAAUAGCCCGUUCUCCACCAAACAAUUAGGCAAAGUGCACUCCCCAAGGCCAAAAAAUACUCGAGGAUGAAACGGUUGUUGCAGACCAGGGUAGACCGGGAAUAGCAGAAAGUGAGAGGGGAGUAUCUGAAAAUAGGGGACUUGUGAAAGGCUACAUAUGCAAGUUAAUCUAUAAAGGUCUCCUUUUCUGUUAAGCCUCUAGAAUAUGGACUAAAAGGUAAGAUAUUAGAAGAUACAAAUCUGUAGAAACUGACUGAUCCAAGAAACAAGAACUAAAACUAGUGGCAUUUGGGGAGGGGGUGGCAGUAAUGACAAAGAAACAAUCAGCUUCUCUCCAUAUCACCUAUAGUAAAGUCCAGAGGCAACAAACCUCAUCAAUUCUUAAGGAGUUUCCGUUUAAUUAUAGGUGACUCAGUCUUAAAUGAAUGGGGAAAAAAAGACCUGCACCAAGGUUCAUUAUCAUGAAAUUGGAGGAAUGGAGAUAAAGUUUUUCGUGAACUAGAACAAAGUCUCAUACAAGUGAUCAUGGCUUCUCAAUAACAACAUAAGGAAAUAACAGACAAUGGAACAAUGCUUUCCAAAUUCUAAGAGGAAAUUAUUUUCCAACUAAGAAUUUUAUAUCCAACCAAACUUUCAGUUACAUGGAAAAGCAGAAUAACAAUGUUUUCAGACAUACACAAGCUCAAAAUUUCUCCACAUAAAAACUAUCUUUCAAGGAGCAUCUGAAAGAUGUGCUCCACCAAUAUGAUGGAAUAAAUAAGUUCAGGGAAGAGGAGACCCAAAUAAGAAAAAGUGAAGAGCACUCCAAAGAUGAUAAAAUAACGAUGACUGGACAUCCCUACUCAUCAGAGACAGGGAUAGUGAUGAAACUUUGAGAGCUCUGAGUCCAGAAUGAAGCAGAAG